UCCAGCAGCCGCGGUAAUACGUUCCCGGGUCUUGUACACACCGCCCGUCACACCACGAGAGUUUACAACACCCGAAGCCGGUGGGGUAACCCGCAAGGGGGCUAGCCGUCGAAGGUGGGGUAGAUGAUUGGGGUGAAGUCGUAGCAGGGUAGUUGUAUCGGAAGGUGCGGCUGGAUCACCUCCUUUCUAAGGUUAUACCCAACUACUAUGAUUCUUGGAUAGUCGGGCAGGUUUUAUUGCUCACU
Molecule: unclassified non-coding RNA, 245 nt
Filed under: uncultured Paenibacillus sp.
Lineage: Bacteria; Bacillati; Bacillota; Bacilli; Caryophanales; Paenibacillaceae
Description: partial contains 16S ribosomal RNA, 16S-23S ribosomal RNA intergenic spacer, and 23S ribosomal RNA
Rfam family: Bacterial small subunit ribosomal RNA (bases 1-186)
Source: RNAcentral